Onychostruthus taczanowskii (white-rumped snowfinch) is the source of this 1144-nucleotide long non-coding RNA. RefSeq lists it as uncharacterized. The record is from RefSeq and is a predicted model, not a curated record. The transcript has 4 exons. Lineage: Eukaryota; Metazoa; Chordata; Aves; Passeriformes; Passeridae.
GCGCAUGCGCCGUGCGCGCCCCGCAGCCUUUCCCGGGGAGCCGGCGCGGCCCCGGCGGGAGCUGUGGCUUGGCGGGGUCCCGAGAGAGACGGGCCCGGUCACUGGGCUUAACGGGGAGAGCUUUGGAUGUGUGCGGCGGUGCACGGGGCGCUGCGGAGCUCGGCCCGGGUGAGUGCGGGCUCUCCCAGCUCGGGGCCAUCCCGGCCUGGCGCCUAUCCCGCGGCAAGCGUGACUCGCUAGAGGAGGGAGCCAGGAGGUGCCAUGGAACCUCCAGCCUACACAGGUGUUUCCCAGCCAUGCUGGCAGCAGUCCAGCUGCGGGGAAGCUGCCGAGGAGGCAGCCCGGCGCUGCAACCCAGAACGGGCCUCCCCCGCUGGGCUCUCGCAGAGGAUGGGGCAGUUGCAGCCCCCGCGUCAUUCCCGUGGGAUUCGGGACCUGUGGUGUGCAUUGGGAGCUCCUGCUGGGGAAAAAGCUUUGUCUUCCCAGCCUCUUCUUCACCAGGGAUGUCUCCAUGCGGGAAACGGCACAGGGGACUGGCCGAGGGGCUCAGCCUGGGACACGGCCCCUACAGCAGCAGCCCUGGGCACGCUGGCAAGGCAGGAUGAGCCCAGGUGAGGAGCACGGCCCCAGCGUGGCACCAGGAGAGGCUGGCACGGGAGGAUGAGCCCAGAGACAGAGGAGACGCUGCUGCACCUCGUGCCCAGGAGAGCCCCUGGCUCGCUCCUGCUCUGGGAUGGAACUGGGAGCCUCCUCCCUGCAGAGAGCGGCGCCUGGCCUGCCUUCCCUCCCGAGGGGACAGCCUGGGCUCGCUGCUGCUCACAGCUCCUGCUUAGGGACAUCCACGCCUGGAAUCCGGGCUGCACUAACUGGGCAUCCAGCCACGAGACGUUGGUGCUGCAGCUGCAGGUGUUUCCCAGUCCAGCUUGCUGAACCUCCAGCUCUGGCUGUGGCGUGUUCUUCAGUCCAGCUCUGGAACUGAGAUGCUCCAGUUAAUGGCUGCUCCAGUUCCUUCCAGCUCUGGCUUAAUAACUGCUGCUUUUUGUUACUAGCCAAUUUAAAGCCGAUUUUGGCCAAGGUGUAAAUGACUCACUGUCAUCAAUGACUUAUAACUAUUAACUGUCAUAAAGUUAUUGUUUAAAUAGAA